This is a non-coding RNA of Podarcis lilfordi (Lilford's wall lizard), 69 nucleotides long. The record is from the annotation of a GenBank genome assembly. NCBI's taxonomy places the organism in Eukaryota, Metazoa, Chordata, Lepidosauria, Squamata, Lacertidae.
GAUGACCUACGCUGGUCGGCAGAGCAUGAGAUUCUUAAUCUCAGGGUUGUGGGUUCAAGUCCCAUGUCG